RNAcentral lists this ribosomal RNA (414 nucleotides) under bacterium 14S532. Its description in RNAcentral is "bacterial SSU rRNA". It matches the Rfam family "Bacterial small subunit ribosomal RNA", at positions 1049 to 1461 of the family's 1533-position model. The record is from RNAcentral.
CAGGCGUGUGUGACUUGGUCGUGAGAUGUUGGGUUAAGUCCCGCAACGAGCGCAACCCUUUUCCUUAUUUGCCAGCGGGUUAAGCCGGGAACUUUAAGGAUACUGCCAGUGACAAACUGGAGGAAGGCGGGGACGACGUCAAGUCAUCAUGGCCCUUACGACCAGGGCUACACACGUGCUACAAUGGUCGGUACAAAGGGUUGCUACCUAGCGAUAGGAUGCUAAUCUCAAAAAGCCGAUCGUAGUCCGGAUUGGAGUCUGCAACUCGACUCCAUGAAGUCGGAAUCGCUAGUAAUCGCGGAUCAGAAUGCCGCGGUGAAUACGUUCCCGGGCCUUGUACACACCGCCCGUCACACCAUGGGAGUUUGUUGCACCAGAAGUAGGUAGUCUAACCGCAAGGAGGACGCUACCUCG